This 287-nucleotide ribosomal RNA is filed under the name Salmonella enterica. Its description in RNAcentral is "partial 16S ribosomal RNA". It matches the Rfam family "Bacterial small subunit ribosomal RNA", at positions 1 to 284 of the family's 1533-position model. The record is from RNAcentral. Lineage: Bacteria; Pseudomonadati; Pseudomonadota; Gammaproteobacteria; Enterobacterales; Enterobacteriaceae.
AAAUUGAAGAGUUUGAUCAUGGCUCAGAUUGAACGCUGGCGGCAGGCCUAACACAUGCAAGUCGAACGGUAACAGGAAGCAGCUUGCUGCUUUGCUGACGAGUGGCGGACGGGUGAGUAAUGUCUGGGAAACUGCCUGAUGGAGGGGGAUAACUACUGGAAACGGUGGCUAAUACCGCAUAACGUCGCAAGACCAAAGAGGGGGACCUUCGGGCCUCUUGCCAUCAGAUGUGCCCAGAUGGGAUUAGCUAGUUGGUGAGGUAACGGCUCACCAAGGCGACGAUCCCU